RNAcentral lists this ribosomal RNA (452 nucleotides) under uncultured bacterium. Its description in RNAcentral is "bacterial SSU rRNA". It matches the Rfam family "Bacterial small subunit ribosomal RNA", at positions 335 to 799 of the family's 1533-position model. The record is from RNAcentral.
ACUCCUACGGGAGGCAGCAGUGGGGGAAUCUUGGACAAUGGGGGCAAACCCUGAUCCAGCCAUGCCGCGUGAGUGAUGAAGGCCCUAGGUCGUAAAGCUCUUUCGCCAGAGAUGAUAAUGACAGUAUCUGGUAAAGAAACCCCGGCUAACUCCGUGCCAGCAGCCGCGGUAAUACGGAGGGGGUUUAGCGUUGUUCGGAAUUACUGGGGCGUAAAGCGCACGUAGGCGGAUUGGAAAGUUAGAGGUGAAAUCCCGGGGCUCAACCCCGGAACUGCCUUUAAAACUCCCAGUCUUGAGUUCGAGAGAGGUGAGUGGAAUUCCGAGUGUAGAGGUGAAAUUCGUAGAUAUUCGGAGGAACACCAGUGGCGAAGGCGGCUCACUGGCUCGAUACUGACGCUGAGGUGCGAAAGUGUGGGGAGCAAACGAGGAUUAGAUACCCUGGUAGGAUAGCG